GUUAUAGGGUCAAGCGAAUAAGUGCAUGUGGUGGAUGCCUUGGCGAUCACAGGCGAUGAAGGACGUAGUAGCUUGCGAAAAGCUGCGGGGAGCUGGCAAACGAGCUUUGAUCCGCAGAUGUCCGAAUGGGGAAACCCGGCCCGAAUGGGUCAUCCCUUGCUGAAUACAUAGGCAAGGGAGGCGAACGCAGUGAACUGAAACAUCUAAGUAGCUGCAGGAAAAGAAAUCAACCGAGAUUCCCAAAGUAGUGGCGAGCGAAAUGGGAACAGCCUUGUACUCUUUAGCAGUAUUGUUAGCGGAACGGAAUGGAAAGUCCGGCCAUAGCGGGUGAUAGCCCCGUACGCGAAAACAGUAUUGUGGAACUAGGUGUACGACAAGUAGGGCGGGACACGUGAAAUCCUGUCUGAAGAUGGGGGGACCAUCCUCCAAGGCUAAAUACUCGUGAUCGACCGAUAGUGAACCAGUACCGUGAGGGAAAGGCGAAAAGAACCCCGGGAGGGGAGUGAAAUAGAUCCUGAAACCGCAUGCAUACAAACAGUCGGAGCCUGGAAACGGGUGACGGCGUACCUUUUGUAUAAUGGGUCAGCGACUUACAUUCAGUGGCAAGCUUAACCGAUUAGGGAAGGCGUAGCGAAAGCGAGUCCGAAUAGGGCGUUCAGUCGCUGGGUGUAGACCCGAAACCAAGUGAUCUAUCCAUGGCCAGGUUGAAGGUGCGGUAACACGUACUGGAGGACCGAACCCACUAACGUUGAAAAGUUAGGGGAUGAGCUGUGGAUAGGGGUGAAAGGCUAAACAAACUUGGAAAUAGCUGGUUCUCUCCGAAAACUAUUUAGGUAGUGCCUCGUGUCUCACCUUCGGGGGUAGAGCACUGUCAUGGUUGGGGGGUCUAUUGCUGAUUACCCCGCCAUAGCAAACUCCGAAUACCGAAGAGUGCAAUCACGGGAGACAGACAUCGGGUGCUAACGUCCGGUGUCAAGAGGGAAACAACCCAGACCGCCAGCUAAGGUCCCUAAGAUUGGCUAAGUGGGAAACGAAGUGGGAAGGCUAAAACAGUCAGGAGGUUGGCUUAGAAGCAGCCACCCUUUAAAGAAAGCGUAAUAGCUCACUGAUCGAGUCGUCCUGCGCGGAAGAUGUAACGGGGCUAAGCCAGUCACCGAAGCUGCGGAUGCACGUAAGUGCAUGGUAGGAGAGCGUUCUGUAAGCCUGUGAAGGUGUCUUGUAAAGGAUGCUGGAGGUAUCAGAAGUGCGAAUGCUGACAUGAGUAGCGAUAAAGGGGGUGAAAGGCCCCCUCGCCGUAAGCCCAAGGUUUCCUACGCAACGUUCAUCGGCGUAGGGUGAGUCGGCCCCUAAGGCGAGGCAGAGAUGCGUAGCUGAUGGGAAGCAGGUUAAUAUUCCUGCACCGUCGUAUGAUGCGAUGGGGGGACGGAUCGCGGAAGGUUGUCCGGGUGUUGGAUGUCCCGGUCCCUACAUUGGAGAUGGCACUUAGGCAAAUCCGGGUGCGUGAUUCAAGGGUGUGGGGCGAGCGACUUUAGGUCGCGAAGCAAUUGGAAGUGGUUCCAAGAAAAGCCUCUAAGCUUCAGUCAUACGAGACCGUACCGCAAACCGACACAGGUGGGCGAGAUGAGUAUUCUAAGGCGCUUGAGAGAACUCGGGAGAAGGAACUCGGCAAAUUGGUACCGUAACUUCGGGAUAAGGUACGCCCUUGUAGUUUGACUGGCUCGCGCCAGAAGGAUGAAGGGGUUGCAAUAAAAUGGUGGCUGCGACUGUUUAAUAAAAACACAGCACUCUGCAAACACGAAAGUGGACGUAUAGGGUGUGACGCCUGCCCGGUGCCGGAAGAUUAAAUGAUGGGGUGCAAGCUCUUGAUUGAAGUCCCGGUAAACGGCGGCCGUAACUAUAACGGUCCUAAGGUAGCGAAAUUCCUUGUCGGGUAAGUUCCGACCUGCACGAAUGGCGUAACGAUGGCCACACUGUCUCCUCCCGAGACUCAGCGAAGUUGAAGUGUUUGUGAUGAUGCAAUCUCCCCGCGGCUAGACGGAAAGACCCCAUGAACCUUUACUGUAGCUUUGCAUUGGACUUUGAACCGAUCUGUGUAGGAUAGGUGGGAGGCUUUGAAACCGGGACGCUAGUUUCGGUGGAGCCGACCUUGAAAUACCACCCUGGUUUGUUUGAGGUUCUAACCUUGGCCCGUGAAUCCGGGUCGGGGACAGUGCAUGGUAGGCAGUUUGACUGGGGCGGUCUCCUCCCAAAGUGUAACGGAGGAGUUCGAAGGUACGCUUGGUACGGUCGGACAUCGUACCUAAAGUGCAAUGGCAAAAGCGUGCUUAACUGCGAGACCGACAAGUCGAGCAGGUGCGAAAGCAGGACAUAGUGAUCCGGUGGUUCUGUAUGGAAGGGCCAUCGCUCAACGGAUAAAAGGUACUCUGGGGAUAACAGGCUGAUACCGCCCAAGAGUUCAUAUCGACGGCGGUGUUUGGCACCUCGAUGUCGGCUCAUCUCAUCCUGGGGCUGUAGCCGGUCCCAAGGGUAUGGCUGUUCGCCAUUUAAAGAGGUACGUGAGCUGGGUUUAAAACGUCGUGAGACAGUUUGGUCCCUAUCUGCCGUGGGCGUUGGAAUCUUGACGGGGGCUGCUCCUAGUACGAGAGGACCGGAGUGGACGUACCGCUGGUGUACCUGUUGUCUCGCCAGAGGCAUCGCAGGGUAGCUAUGUACGGAAGAGAUAACCGCUGAAAGCAUCUAAGCGGGAAACUCGCCUGAAGAUGAGGAUUCCCUGGAGACUUGAUCUCCCUGAAGGGUCGUUCGAGACCAGGACGUUGAUAGGCUGGGUGUGGAAGCGCAGUAAUGCGUUCAGCUAACCAGUACUAAUUGCCCGUGCGGCUUGAUCCUAUAACC
Molecule: ribosomal RNA, 2892 nt
Filed under: Ralstonia pseudosolanacearum
Lineage: Bacteria; Pseudomonadati; Pseudomonadota; Betaproteobacteria; Burkholderiales; Burkholderiaceae
Description: 23S ribosomal RNA
Rfam family: Bacterial large subunit ribosomal RNA
Source: RNAcentral